UGAAGGGAGCGGAGAGGAGCGCGCGUGAGGGGAGCGGGGCGCCAGUGAGGGGAGCGACCGGGCCCGGGCCAGGCCGGCGUUCCGUAAAGGCUGACUGGAAGCGUACUUGGGGAGUGGUGGCUGCAGACCUGGGCUUUUCACUGUGGCUGUGCGGAACCGUUGCGGUCUGGGAAGGCGAGCUGCGGCCGCCGGAGGCUCGGGCAGGAUGGUGAGAGAGCUGGGACUGCCGGCCGCGGGCUGGGGAUAGAUACCUGUACCCUGAAGAGAAGGAAGUUCCUCUCUUAGUUAAGCUUGCGCUUGAAACCACGACUCUAGGCUUUUUCCGAAGCUAUGUGGAAUUCUGAAAUAACAAUACUGUUUAGCUCUUAGAGUGGGUACUCUGCUUGUGCCUCUUCGUAUGUGUGCGAAUAAGGGCUGCUCUAUCCUUGGCCAUCUUUGCCAGGUAAUUUGUGUAACUUUCUGACACAUUUUACUAUGUCGAGUAUUGAACAAUACGCAUAUCCCACAUGACAGUGCUUUGGGAGCUCUCUAGGUGCUGGGGGUGGCUGUGCAGAGCUGGCUGUCCAGGGCCCGUUCGAGCUCCAGCCCCGGCUCGCUCACACCACGGGUUCUCCUCGGCUCUGCACAGCACAGGCUAACAGCUAAAUUAUCACUGUUCCUGCACAUGGCAAACUACAGACGUGUAGUAGGAAAAUUAUUUGCCACAGCAUGUUUUACUCGGAAGUCCAGGGAUCUGCUAUAUGAACAUGAAAUACUAGUUCUAACUAUGUAAAGGAGAAAUUUGCUAGAGA
This is a long non-coding RNA of Ficedula albicollis (Collared flycatcher), 791 nucleotides long. RefSeq lists it as uncharacterized. NCBI's taxonomy places the organism in Eukaryota, Metazoa, Chordata, Aves, Passeriformes, Muscicapidae. The record is from RefSeq and is a predicted model, not a curated record. The transcript is spliced from 3 exons.